GGGUGAGGUAGGACCGGCGGAGAGGUCGGCACCGCCCCAGGACCCUGUCCGCAGGAGCAGCACAGCAGGCAGCUGCAGGAGCAGUGGGAGGAGCUGUCGAGUCAGCUCUUCUACUACGGAGGAGAACCGCAGAGCCAGAAGAGCACGGAGCAGCAACUCGCAGCCCAGUUGGUGACGCUGCAGAAUGAACUGGAGCUGGCGGAGACCAAAUGCGCCUUGCAGGAGGAGAAGCUGCAGCAGGGCGCGCUGCAGACAGCGGAGGCCUGGGCCAUAUUCCAGGAGCAGACCGUAGUCCUGCAGGAGGUGCAGGUGAAGGUGAUGGAGGCUGCGGAGGAGCUGGACGCCUGGCAGAGUGGCCGGGAACUGUAAGGGAGUUGGGCCUGCGGGCGCGGCGGGGCACUGUGGGGCCGGGCUGGGCUCCCACCUGCAUGCCUGUUCCCGCAGGUGUGACGGGCAGCUUCGCGGAGUGCAGUACAGCACCGAGUCGCUCAUGGAGGAGAUGGCCAGGGCGGACCGAGAGACGCGGCUGUUCGGCGGUCCUCGCGCGCUGGCCAUCAGGUGCUGCUGACGCUGCCGCUCCUCUUCCUGGGGCUGUCGCUGCUCUGGACGGUGCUGUUGGACCCCGGCGCCGUCUCCGCGUGGCUCUGGAGCCUCACCUCGGAGACGACGCUGCGCCGCCUGCGCUACACGCUGUCCCCGCUGCUGGAGCUGCGCGCUAACGGGCUGCUGCCAACCUAAGUGCAGCGCCCCGCGCCUGGCUCCAGGUGGACGCCAGGGCACCUGGCUUUAUUUCUGGUGCACUCCUCUCCUGAGAGUGUAGACCAAGGUCGCCUAAUAAACUCCUC
Molecule: small RNA, 845 nt
Filed under: Pan troglodytes (chimpanzee)
Lineage: Eukaryota; Metazoa; Chordata; Mammalia; Primates; Hominidae
Description: retained intron
Source: RNAcentral